UACGAAGGGGGCUAGCGUUGCUCGGAAUCACUGGGCGUAAAGCGCACGUAGGCGGAUUGCUAAGUCAGGGGUGAAAUCCUGGAGCUCAACUCCAGAACUGCCUUUGAUACUGGCGAUCUUGAAUCCGGGAGAGGUGAGUGGAACUGCGAGUGUAGAGGUGAAAUUCGUAGAUAUUCGCAAGAACACCAGUGGCGAAGGCGGCUCACUGGCCCGGUACUGACGCUGAGGUGCGAAAGCGUGGGGAGCAAACAGG
Molecule: ribosomal RNA, 253 nt
Filed under: uncultured bacterium
Lineage: Bacteria
Description: partial 16S ribosomal RNA
Rfam family: Bacterial small subunit ribosomal RNA
Source: RNAcentral